AUCUGAGGCAGACGUGUGGGUACAGAAACGGCCGCCACUGGCGAGCCAGCGCCGCAUGUGGGAGGCUGGCUCUCUGGGCCUCGUCUAUUCCCCGGGUUCCUGUAAGCGGCCCACACCCAGAAAGGAAGGCGGGAUGCUGCCUUAAGCGAGAUGCUCUCGACCGCGGCUUUCUAGGUCAGCACUACCUCCGCGUUGGACUAAAUCCGUGUGCAGGUCUCCCCACGCCUCACUGAAAUAAUGUGCGGGUUUCCCCCGCCAUCCUUGCUCCUCUAGAAACGCUCCUUCAUCAGACCGCCAAUCCAGAACUUCACAAACAGCAUUUCCUAUAAACUGCUACGGGUUUAUUCAUCCGAUUGCAUUUCCCUCCAUGUAAAGAAGGAAUUAACAGCUUUGAGUGAAACAUACAACUAAACAACAACAACAACAACAACAACAACAAAAACUUCUUUACGCCCCGUAGCAGGUCUUUCAGUAAAUGCCCACUGACAGUCAGUGUGGUACGGGGUGCCCCAGUGGGACAGGCACGGGGAGACCUCCAUAUACAAUGUUCCCGCCACUCCAUUUCGUCUAACGCCGUGCUUAUAUUUAUAGCGACCGGCCAAUUUACUAUAGCUAACGAUCGCAGGCAGUUCGGAAACAAAUGAACAUAGACUUUUUGUCUUGUGCGUGUUUUUGUCCAGGUUUGGCUCAGAAGGAAGCAGAUUUGCCCACAAGGCAGGUAAAAGAGCGACAGGGGGCAAGGGGGGGCUACGAUACGAGUGGCGAUGCCGCGAUCCUCGCCGGCGGCGCCGCACAGCCAGCGCCCUGCUCUCGACUACGGGAUGUUUCCCCUGACAUUUGCGGUAAUGCUGGCUCUCGACGGCUGCUGCGCAUCUGCAGUUGUCACCGCAGUGAUCAGAAUAUAACUGAGAGUUCUCAGUUUUCGUGUCUCGGAGGUGAUAUAGUGCUUCUGUUUUCCAUUUUAACACACUUUGCGACGAAAUUCAAACGUCUGAAUUUUCCCCUUGCGCUAUUAUUUGUCUCGGAUGAUGAGAAAGGAAAGCCUCCCCCCUCCGCUCCGUGGGACUGCAGCCCUAGUGCCCGCUUGCCUGUCGAUGAAAGUUUACCGUGUCAUGCGCAACCGGCUCUCCCACUCGGGAAUACCGAGAAGAGCUGGCAAGCGCGCCGGAUGACAGGUGCUGGAAGGCAGAGAGCGGAAUGCAGAUAAAAGGAGAAGGACGACAACCCCCACUCUGCUAUAUGCUGGCAAAAUUACAGCUAAAAGAAGAAGCAGGGAUCACAGUGUUAAACCCUCACAAACUGUCAUCGGCAAGAAUUAUCACAGAAAACAAAUGACAUUCAGGACUGAAUGAUGAUGUAAUGCAUCCAAUGAUACAUCUUCACUUCAGCUCACAGGAAGACUGGGCCUGAGGUACUGCGAGAACACUUUACAGAGUAAGCCAUGUUUACCAUGUCUGCCAUGCGCUACAGGACGAGGUUGAUGCACGUCUGAGGAGCCUCCAGACGGUAAACAGGCUAUUGUUAAAGGCGAGCUGUGGUGCAACACAACCCUGGGGCUAAUUAAUGGCCCCCAUUGGCUGAGGACAGACAGGACUGUGGCCAUAGCGAUGACUUCCAGAACAAGCCGUUUGAACUGCACAGAAUUGCUGGGCUCUCGCAGGAUUCAAUUCCAGAGCCGAGGCAAGGAAAAACACGAAAAACUCACAGUUGUUUCCAUUUUAAGUUUAUAUUUACACACUUCAAACUAAUGCUGGAGAGGAAUCAGAUUUGCAAUUAUAUUCAUAUUCACAACUUGUGAUUACCUUGUUUUUAAGCUACCUAUAAAAAAGGUUUUUCUUAUGCAUUGUAUCUGAAAUCUAACUCCAUUCAAUUUUACUUUGUUUUGAACCUUUGGAAUCAAACCAUUUUUUUUAUUACACUUCACGUGAAUCUCACUUGAAAAAACUAAGUUGGGUAAAUCAGAAAAAGAGGGUUUUUAUAUUAGAACUUGUAAAGCUGAAAGUGCUUUUAAAUCCACUCGUGUAAGACGAGAGAGCCACACAUUGAGUCUUCCUCAUAUAACAAGAUCGUUCCCGACAAGUCUUCCUCAUGAGACAGGACCACUCACUGCAAAUCGUCCUCACAUGACAGAACCACUUCCAGUGAGUCUUCCUCACACAACAGGACAGAUUCCACCAGGUCAUACUAAUGCAUCCUCAUCCAUCACUCCCAGCAGGUCUUCCUCACGACAGGACCACUCCUGGAAAGUUUUCAUCACGUAACAGGACCACUUCCAAGGAGUCUUCCUCAUGUAUCAGGACUGAUGCCAUAGAGUCUUCCACAUGUAUCAGGAUCGCCCCCAUAGAGUCUUCCUCAUGUAUCAGGACUGAUGCCAGAGUCUUCCUCAUGUAUCAGGAUCGCACCUGAAAAGUCUUCCACAUGUAUCAGGACCGCUCCCAUAGAGUCUUCCUCAUGUAUCAGGAUCGCCCCCAAGACAUCUCCUGGCAAGUCUUCCUCAUGUGACAGGACUGCUCCCGUCAAAGGCUUUAAAGGAAUACCACCCGCCCCCCUCCCCAUAGAACUACGAUACGUCAUCGUACCUCAGAUUCUACAUAAGGGGGGUACUGAGAGGGCCUAAUGAUGAACCUAGCACAUGGCGGGUGGGUGGGCUGUGGACUUCCUGUGUGGCAGGAGUUAUUAGAAAUGUUUGCUUCCCUACAGCCAACCCACUUGUGGCAAUCGCACCGACCUGCCUUGGAACAGGACGAUAUGUAUUCAGGACGAUACUUGUGGAACACAUGGUGUUAAAUCCAAUUACAGGUGAUGUUCCUGCAGUGAACUUAA
Non-coding RNA from Paramormyrops kingsleyae, 2823 nucleotides. The record is from RefSeq and is a predicted model, not a curated record. NCBI's taxonomy places the organism in Eukaryota, Metazoa, Chordata, Actinopteri, Osteoglossiformes, Mormyridae.